Molecule: ribosomal RNA, 478 nt
Filed under: uncultured bacterium
Lineage: Bacteria
Description: partial 16S ribosomal RNA
Rfam family: Bacterial small subunit ribosomal RNA
Source: RNAcentral
GACGAACGUUGGCGGCGUGCUUAACACAUGCAAGUCGAACGGUAAGGCCCUUCGGGGUACACGAGUGGCGAACGGGUGAGUAACACGUGGGUGAUCUGCCCUGCACUUCGGGAUAAGCCUGGGAAACUGGGUCUAAUACCGGCUAGGACCACUGGCUGCAGGGGUGGUGGUGGAAAGCUUUUGCGGUGUGGGAUGGGCCCGCGGCCUAUCAGAUUGUUGGUGGGGUGAUGGCCUACCAAGGCGACGACGGGUAGCCGGCCUGAGAGGGUGACCGGCCACACUGGGACUGAGAUACGGCCCAGACUCCUACGGGAGGCAGCAGUGGGGAAUAUUGCACAAUGGGCGCAAGCCUGAUGCAGCGACGCCGCGUGAGGGAUGACGGCCUUCGGGUUGUAAACCUCUUUCAGCACCGACGAAGCGCAAGUGACGGUAGGUGCAGAAGAAGGACCGGCCAACUACGUGCCAGCAGCCGCAGUAA